CGGGUGAGUAACACGUGGAUAACCUACCUAUAAGACUGGGAUAACUUCGGGAAACCGGAGCUAAUACCGGAUAAUAUAUUGAACCGCAUGGUUCAAUAGUGAAAGACGGUUUUGCUGUCACUUGUAGAUGGAUCCGCGCUGCAUUAGCUAGUUGGUAAGGUAACGGCUUACCAAGGCAACGAUGCGUAGCCGACCUGAGAGGGUGAUCGGCCACACUGGAACUGAGACACGGUCCAGACUCCUACGGGAGGCAGCAGGC
This 259-nucleotide ribosomal RNA is filed under the name uncultured Staphylococcus sp. RNAcentral's name for it is "partial 16S ribosomal RNA". It matches the Rfam family "Bacterial small subunit ribosomal RNA", at positions 103 to 354 of the family's 1533-position model. Lineage: Bacteria; Bacillati; Bacillota; Bacilli; Caryophanales; Staphylococcaceae. The record is from RNAcentral.